This 722-nucleotide unclassified non-coding RNA is filed under the name Hevea brasiliensis (rubber tree). The record is from RNAcentral. Lineage: Eukaryota; Viridiplantae; Streptophyta; Magnoliopsida; Malpighiales; Euphorbiaceae.
GUUCAUUAUAAAAUGAGAUGAUUGCACGGCUCUUAUGGGUUCCAUACUUCCAUUCUCACAUCAAUUAAUCAAACAGCCUCCAGCUACAAAUUCACCUUCUGGUUCUCAUCUAGUGAUCAAUUUUUUUUUACCUCUCUCAGUUCCCACUAGCGCUUGAGAUAUGUGGGGCUCUUUUGUUUUGGGGGGUGAUGGGUGCAUAAAUGUAGAUUUUGAGGCUUUAGAUUAUGUGAAGGUAUAAAGAGAAAGGAGUGUGUCAUAUCUGAUUCAUGCUGUGAAAGAUCAAUGGAAAGACAGUUUUUUAAAAAGGGAAGUUAGUAAAAAAACCAGAUCUUAUUGUUACUUCAAUUUUGCAUUUUUCAUUGUCAGAAGUCAGGCUUUCAAAAUAUUAGGGAUAAAAGUGAAAGGUUUGUCUUAUUCUUGCUUAUUUCUCACCCCCCCUACUCUCCUUUUCUCUGUUCUUGAUGUAUUUGGGUUCUUCAAAAAGCCAUCCACCACAGCGAUUCUCUCAAGCUUUUCCAGGUCAGAAAGUAGGAAUUUGAAUAGAAAAAGUAUCUGGGAUUCUCUUAAAUCAAUCAUUUCUUUUCUAUUUGUUUUGAAGAUUCUGAAACAAGCAAGAUAAAUCUUACUAGAAAUCUUUUUUAAUUCAAUUUGCUUUCCAUGUUGCAGAUAUCCCCUAAGAAUCUAAGGAGAACUGCGACUUUAGGAGGUUCUCAAUCCAAGAA